GCGUGGAGACAGGUGGUGCAUGGCUGUCGUCAGCUCGUGUCGUGAGAUGUUGGGUUAAGUCCCGCAACGAGCGCAACCCUCACCCCUUGUUGCCAUCAGGUCAUGCUGGGCACUCUAGGGGAACUGCCCCGGUCAACGGGGAGGAAGGCGGGGAUGACGUCAAGUCAUCAUGCCCCUUACGUCCUGGGCUACACACGUGCUACAAUGGCCGGUACAAAGGGAUGCAACGCCGCGAGGCAGAGCCAAACCCAAAAAGCCGGUCUAAGUUCAGAUUGGAGUCUGCAACUCGACUCCAUGAAGGAGGAAUCGCUAGUAAUCGCGUAUCAGCACGACGCGGUGAAUACGUUCCCGGGCCUUGUACACACCGCCCGUCACACCACGAAAGCCAGCUGUACUCGAAGUCGCUGAG
Molecule: ribosomal RNA, 409 nt
Filed under: uncultured Methylomirabilota bacterium
Lineage: Bacteria; Methylomirabilota (SeqCode)
Description: bacterial SSU rRNA
Rfam family: Bacterial small subunit ribosomal RNA
Source: RNAcentral